UGGUGAGAUAAAAGUUCACCAAGGCUGCGAUGGGUAGCCGACCUGAGAGGGUGGACGGCCACACUGGAACUGAGACACGGUCCAGACUCCUACGGGAGGCAGCAGUGGGGAAUAUUGCACAAUGGAGGAAACUCUGAUGCAGCGACGCCGCGUGAACGAUGAAGGCUUUCGAGUCGUAAAGUUCUGUCCUAGGGGACGAUAAUGACGGUACCCUAGGAGGAAGCCCCGGCUAACUACGUGCCAGCAGCCGCGGUAAUACGUAGGGGGCGAGCGUUGUCCGGAUUUACUGGGCGUAAAGGGUACGCAGGCGGCCAUGUAAGUCAGAUGUGAAAUCCCACAGCUUAACUGUGGUAAGCAUUUGAAACUGCUUGGCUUGAGUUAAGGAGAGGAAAGUGGAAUUCCUAGUGUAGCGGUGAAAUGCGUAGAUAUUAGGAAGAAUAUCAGUGGCGAAGGCGACUUUCUGGACUUAUACUGACGCUGAGGUACGAAAGCGUGGGGAGCAAACAGGAUUAGAUACCCUGGUAGUCCAUGCUGUAAACGAUGAGUGCUAGGUGUCGGGGGUCAAACCUCGGUGCCGCCGUUAA
RNAcentral lists this ribosomal RNA (584 nucleotides) under uncultured bacterium. RNAcentral describes it as "bacterial SSU rRNA". It matches the Rfam family "Bacterial small subunit ribosomal RNA", at positions 250 to 855 of the family's 1533-position model. The record is from RNAcentral.